This 26350-nucleotide long non-coding RNA is filed under the name Theobroma cacao (cacao). Its description in RNAcentral is "long non-coding RNA (TCAC_LNC002861)". The record is from RNAcentral. Lineage: Eukaryota; Viridiplantae; Streptophyta; Magnoliopsida; Malvales; Malvaceae.
GUAAUUAGCUUUUUCGGCUUUACAGUAGAGAACAGAACUGUGAUGCUAAAAUAAUGUUCCAUUAAUUUCUGACUACUUAUAGUUUUGUUUCAGGGGCCUGCAACUAGUUUUUACGUUCCUGAUCUAGUGAAAAACUCCAUCCGUGCUCUGUGCAAUGCAAACACCUCCGAAAGGUUCAACCCCAUGAAGGACGUAUCCAUUCCAGAAAUUAGUCUUAAAAGCAGUAGGCUAGAGGGCUUGAUUGGCGGGCCGUCUCCAUCACAGCGUACAAUCCUGGCAUUUUUUGCAGGGGGGAAUCACGGUUUUGUAAGACCAAUACUGUUUAGGCAUUGGGAGAAAAAGGAUCCGGCUAUUAGAGUUCACAAUUACCUUCCAAAACGAGUACCUUACUAUGACCUAAUGAGGCAGAGUAAGUAUUGCCUUUGCCCCAGUGGUUAUGAAGUUGCGAGUCCGAGAGUUGUUGAGGCCUUGUACAAUGGCUGUGUUCCAGUGCUGAUUUCGAAAAGUUACGUGCCGCCAUUUAGUGAUGUCUUGAAUUGGAAGAUGUUCUCUGUGAUGGUUUCCCUAGAAGAUAUUCCAAAUCUGAAGAAAAUAUUGAUGAGUAUACCAGAAAGGCAGUUUAUAACAAUGCAGAAGAGAGUUGUCCAAGUGAGAAGGCAUUUCGAGUUGCAUGUGACUCCCAAGAGGUUCGAUGUAUUCCAUAUGAUCCUUCACUCUAUUUGGCUUAGAAGAUUGAAUGUCAAAGUCAGUAAUGAACCUGGAAAUAUUUUGGAUUGAUGAAUUAAUAGACUACUCCAUCUCUGUAAAAAAAGUAAGUUGCCCCCCAGCCGGUGCGUAACGGAAUACAUAAUUUAAAGAAAAUUGUUUUGCAAUUUGAUGAUGUAGUUAAGUCAACUUGUAAUUGCAAACAAAUCUUUUUUUUUUUUUGUGAUAAAUGGUAUUUUUAUUAAUCCAGGGAUAGCUAGCAGGGAAAGCUCAGCUACAUCAUAACUAUUCAGCUAUUUUAUACAUUACAAAUGAAACAAUCAAAGGUUAACAGUACAAAUAUCAGAAAAUUCAAGAACUUUUGCUCCAGGAAGAGAUCAGCAAGAGAAUUAUUAGUCUUUGCUGGGAUGGGUUUUGGAGUAUUUUGAUCACAGAGAAUUAUUAUAUUUUGUUAAAUCCAGUGAGGGUUGGUACGUAGUAACUUUAUUGUAUUAUUUCAAUAAUUACCAAGCUUAAAUUUUGGACAAAAAGACAUCAUGAGAUUUUAAACUUUGUAAUUGACAUUUUUUCAUUGUGAAUUAAUUAUAUUCGGAUUCUGUCUUGUGAUUUUUUUCUUGACCUUGAGAAUUUUUUCAUAUAUAUAAUGUGUUUUAUUUUUAGUUGCUACAUGUUAUAUUUGUUGAUAUAUACCUUUUUUUAAUUUGACUUAAAUAAAUUAUAUUAUAAUCAUUAUUGAAUUAAACUUGUUGAUAUUUAUUGCUCAAGGUCCAACACCUAGAAUGUAUCAAGCACUCAAGUAGAGGUGCAUAAAUAUGGGAUUUUCAAGUGCUCAAUCUGAUUUCAGUUUCUUGUUCCUAAACACGAUGGAUAAUUGCUUGAAUGGCCAUAAUGGAUAAGGUUCCUACUAAAUUCACAGACUAAAUGUUUAGCUUGAAUAUUUCUCUACCUAGCACUAACUGCUUUCUUUGAAAUCUGAUGCAACUCGAGAUUGCCUGUGUUCUUUGUUAUCCAGUCUCUAGGCAAAUCUAGUACAAAACUGUACAAGCCUGAAGUUGGUGAGUUUCAAAUAUUGCCUGGAAUUAGUGCUUAUAUUAGGGAGAAAGAUAUAUAAGAGGAAAGUAUGGUAAACAGCCACCCUAAGUUUCAAUGUUUUUGUAGCAUUAUCUGAGAUUGUAAAAUAUAGUCUCAUUAAUGAUCUCCCCAAUGUUGUCAAACCUGGGGAGUGAUAAGAUAUUUUGGUUGAUUAGUCUAACUUUACUAAUGCUGCAACCCAUGCAACUUAAUUUAUUUCUUUUGAUUUACACUCUUGUACAAAUAUUUGGAGUUUUUAUUCUGUAUUCUAGAAAAUAAAUGACUUAAUUUAAUUUUCAUGAAACAGAAUCAACUUUAUGCUUACAGUACUAUAGGCUAAUAAUGUUGCAGAGCUAGAACCAAACAGAUAAUUGAAGGAAUAGAAGGUAAGCGUUUGGAGACAACAUCACAACACAUCAAAAAAUUAUUUACCACGUGGCACGUGGUACGACACGUGGAUUGACAGCAGAUGCAACAGAAUCUGCCUAAUGGCCAUGAAGCAUCUGCAUUAGGCAUCAUCGAUAUCUCCCAGACCCAGUAGCAUCCGUCCACCGCUUAGUGGCAUCACUGGGAUUCGCGUGCAAACAAACACGUCUUCCUUCAUCAGCAUGUCUUCCACGUGUCAAACCAUCAUCUCAUUACAAUACGUGGCAGUCAAUGAGAGAAAAGUUUCUUCCUUACGUGUCAUGUUCACUGGAUUGAAGCAAUUUGUAUGAAUGCAAAUCUUCUGCCCCGAAUUGGUGCCCCAUUUCCUGCCCCCUUUACAAAAUUAUGCCAUCUGUCCAAUAAAUGGAAGUUUAUUAACGGCACGUUAACUCCCUUCUUUUUUUUCUUUUCCAAUGUUUUCAAUCGUUACUCUCCGGUUUUUGCUCUUUGCUUCUUCUUCAGUCAUGGUGGAGGCUUCAGACAAUAGCAAGUUUUAGUUUUCGCCUGGUUCUUAACCGAGGAUGACUUGUUCAUGAACAAGAGUAAAGCAAAGAACAAUCUCAAGGAAGAUUGUUUUGGAUUAGACCACUUAUGCAUGGACAAAAAGAAAGCUAAGAACAAUCCCAAGAAUUCCAAAGUUUUGUUUUUUGAAAAAUAAUUAUUAACAGAAAGUACAUACAGUGCCAUUUUUUUUUGACAGGAUUGACCACAUUUUUAUGGAUGUUCUCUGCUCUAAUAAUGUUAUUGGGUUCAAAUUUAGCAAAAUCAAUGAAAUGGUUGUUUUUCAGAAAUAAAUACCGUAAUGGUGGAAUAGCACAGAGCUUAAAAAUUGGGGAAAAAGAGAAGAAAAAGCCGCACUUGAUCAUCCUCUUCAUAUCUGGGUCUCAAGCAACUUCAUUGGUCACAAUAUUUGACAUAGAGUGAACCAGACUGAUGCAAGUACAAGCCACAUAAUCAUAAGCUUGAAUUUGCGUAUAGAAUAUCAAAAUCAAAAAAUUUGGUUACACUUGGGAUGAAAACAAAGACUCUGCUAGACGCCCGACAUAUUCAGUCAUAAGCUUAAACCACACCCAAAAAUCAUCCCACAGACAAAAUAUCCCUGAACAGCAAAAGAGUCAAAAACACAGAAUCUUCAAGAGAAACACAAUGAGUAGAAAGACCAUCCUCCAUUCCCUUAGCAUGAUAUAGAAAUAUAAAGAGCGAAAGAUCAUACAAGUAUUCCUCGUGAAUAUGCAUUUAUAUGUCAGAGUUGAGUUGUUCUUGUAUUAUUGCAGUGAGUUCCUGUUUGAGGUUUGAUUGAGAUUGAAAAAGCAAUGGCGACAAGGCAAGAGAAAGAGCAAAGAGCAGAGGCAGCAGCGAGACAAGCAGCGGAUGAUCUUCGGGAUGUUGACAGAGGAAGACUCUAUGACGAAAGAGUUGUAUACAAGGAGGAGUUGGAUCAAUCACCGCAGCAACAGCAACAAAGGCCAGGAGUUUUUGGAACCGUGUUGAGGGCUGUCGUUGAUAAGAGACACGAGGCAGAGGAUUUCACAAGGGAAGGAACCGAUCUAGCUGCAGAGAACACGAGGGAGACCAAAGAUGAAGCAGCGGAGAGGGCUAAGGAGUACAAAGACAAUACCACUGUGAAGGAGAAGUAAACUACGGAUGAAGCUGAGAGGAAGAUGGGGGAAUACCAAAACUAUGCAGCCGAGAAGGCGAAAGAAGCAGCUGAAGCAAAGGACACUACAAAGGAAAAGACUCGUGAGUAUAAGGAGUAUUUAGAGCAAAAGUCCAGGAAGGCAUCUGAGCAGGCGAGUCAGGCAUCUGAGAAAGCGGAGGAGUUAGCUCAGAGGGCAAAGGACACUGCCAGGGGAAAGGCUGCUGAGUACAAAGACUAUGCUGCUGAGAAAGCAAAGGAGUCCGCACAGAAGGCGAACGAGGUUAAGGACACCACAAAGCAAAAGGCUGAUGAGUAUACUAAUUAUGCCGCCCAGAACGCAGAGGAGACGAAAGACUCUGCGGCCCAGAAGAAAAAGGAGACGAAAGACUCGGUAACAGGUAAAACUUACACAGAAUCUGCCGCCCAGAAGGCAAAGGAGACAAAAGACUCUGCCGCCCAGAAGGCAAAGGAGACGAAAGAUUCUGCUGCCCAGAAGGAAAAGGAAACAAAGGACACCGUAGCUGGGAAGACUUCUGAGUAUACAGGUGAUGCAGCGCAGAAGGCAAAAGAAGCGAAGGACACAACAACGGGAAAGGCCGCUGAGUAUAAGGACUAUGCAGCUGAGAAAGCCAAGGAGGCAAAAAGUACCACAGAGCAAAAGGCUUCUGAGUAUACAAGCUAUGUGGCACAGAAGGCUAGGGAAGCAAAGGAUACUCCAAUGGGAAAAGCGUCCGAGUACAAGGACUAUGCAGCCGAGAAAGCCAAGGAAGCAAAGGACGCGACAGCUGAGAAGGCCAAGGAUGCCGCAGAAAAGGCAAAACAAGGGACAGAAUAUGCAGCGGAGAAGGCAAAAGUAGGAAAAGGUGCUACUGCGGAGAAGAUGAACGAGUGCAAAGAUUACACCGCUGAGAAAGCAAAGGAGAGUAAGGAUACCACUGUUAGUACGCUUGGGGAGUUGAAAGACUCUGCUGCUGACGCUGCAAGGAGGACUAUGGGCUUCCUCACUGGAAAGACAGAAGAAACGAAAGAGAAGGCAUCAGAGACUGCAGAGAAAACCAAGGUGAUGAAUCUUAUUUAUUCCAACUUUUUUUUUUAUUUUGGAACUUUCAUUAAUACUCAAUAGUUAUUCAGGAAAAGUUGAGUGAAACAACGGAGUCAGCUAGACAGAAAAUGGAAGAGAUGAAGCUGAGAGGCGAAGAGUUCAAAGAAGCUGGAGGGGAUUAUGAUGGUUUGGGACGUGAAGGUGUCUCAGAGACAAUUAUGAUUAAACUUGAAGAUACCCCAGCAGGAGCUGUUGCUGCUACGCUGAAAGCAUCUGAUCAGAUGACUGGCCAAACUUUCAAUGAUGUUGGGUGGAUGAACGAGGAAGGCGUUAUACGCGUAGAACGCUCCGGUAAAACCAAAAGGUAAUCUCAAACCAUCUGCAUAUGCCCUUCGGAUAGGGUGGGACUAUUUGUGUUGCUUCUUUCUAUGGUUUUGCUUCUGUUUUUGUAUCUUCUUGCUAUAAAGUACUUUUUUGUUGCAUGUCUGUGUUCAUGAAUACUUGGAAUGGGUACUCCAUUAAUAAAAACCACCCAAAGAUGGGAACGAAAAUGACGUAUGUAUUUUGGAGCAAGGUGACAGUCGCUACUCUCCGUUGAUAAGAACUCUGGUUGAGCUUCGAGUUUUACUUUUCGUUUCAUAGUUAAGCUUUUUUGUUCGAUGAAGAAAGCCCAACUCAUGUUCGAACUUAAAAUGAUGGGCUGAUCAAGGUCAGAGCGCUCAGCUUGUCCCCAAGCAGAGCCCAUUUGGGUAGUGGGGUCGAUCAAAAUAUAAGCUAGCGAUUGCUCCGAAUGUCCAAUGAGGAAAGAGCACUUAAAAAAUCUAUAGUUUCCAAAGGUAAAUACAUAAAUCUCCACGUAAAAUGGAUGGCAAAUUACUUACCAAAUACCAAGAGGUAAAGAUGAGAAGGUUCUAUGUUCGGAAAUUUGUGGAUAAUGGUGACGAAAAUAUUGCUGUGAGCGGUAGUUGCGUGUACAGUCACGAUUGUGGAUUAAGACGAAAGUGAAAAAAGAUUGUUUUCUUGAUAUGUCGUGACAAAUACAAUGUUAGUAGUUGCCCACUUAUCAUAAAUCUACAUUUUACUUUUAUUAUUAUUAUUAUUAUUACUCUCUAACUUUUUUUGUCCUGCAAGGUAAGCUAGAGAAGUUAAACUUUUGUAAUUAUAUCACAAAUCUUUUCAUCUCAUAAGUAUUAUUCAUAUUUAUCCAUUACUUUUUUCGUUCCAUAAAUAUUAUCCCAUUUUAAUUUUCUUUAGUUAAAUUUUUUUAUUUUAAUUUUAAUUGUUUAAAAUAUUUAAUUAAAUUAAAUAUUAAUAAGUAUAUAUUUAAAAACUAAAAUGUUAAAUUAAAUAAUAGUGAUCAAAUUUGAAAAAGAAAAUUGACUGAGAAAAUUCACAUGAAAAAAUUUGAUUGAGAAAAAUCAAAUUCAUACAUUAAGGACAAAAGAAGUGAUUCAUUAAAGUCAAGUGAGGUUUCCACGAUGUUGCUUGUCAAGAAUGAGUUGAACAUUCAGGGCAAUCAAUUCUUGCCCACACCAGUGUACUCUAAAAUGUAGAGCAGUACAAAACUCAACUGAGGUUAGAGUCCUUAUUCAAUAAUGCCAAGCAAAUAUCCCUUUCUGUCUUGCUAGAACACUGCAGAUGAGGAAUGACAGAAUCCUUGGAUCCAUUAAUUUCAACCAUGUAAUACACGCACAUCAUUCAAAAACUUGCUAAUUUCCAUAUGAUUGCUAUAUGUCAUGCUACUAUUUAUAGUUUGAUUGCUUUCAUAUGCAUGUCUCCUUUUUGUCUAACCAAUACAGAAACAUCCUUCAUUCUAUUGGAGGGAAAUUAUGUUGUCACAGUUUGAUAAACAAACUAAUAACCAACAACAGUUCAAAACGGCCAACCUACAUUAUCUACUAUCUCACUCAUCUCGGAUCAAGCUAAAGAAGCACAUCUCAUUACAUUUGCAGUCCACUUUUAUUCAUUUAAAUGUAUGAAUUUGAUUUUGUUGGUCGAUAAAUGAAGACUCUUUGGAGUAGACUUGCCUCUUAUAUCAUAAAUGAAAUUAAUAAUACAUAUUGAGUUGAGCAAGAAGAAUGCGUUUUGUUGUUACUGGUAGAAUUGUUGGUCGGUAAAUUUGAUACCAUGCAUCCUUUUUGGAGUCUAAACUUUACCGAUCGAAUAUGACUACAUAAAGUUUAUCAGGAAUUUUUGUUGAUAUUUCGUCGGUGAUUUAUUAUUCAUCUAUCGACAAUCCAUCAAUAAUUACUGUUACAUUGAAAUAAAUUUAACCAAAAGUUUAAACCAUGAGUUUUCAUUUGAUAUUCCAGUCAUUAAAGUACUUACUUGUGUCUAGAUAUUGGCACACACAAGGUUUUCGUCUCAAGACAUGUUUUGUUUGAUGAAAUACAGUUUCCCUCUCCACAAAUCUCAAAUUCAAUUAAUAAAUCUCCUAUUUCAUCCUCAGAAUCCAGUCAUCAAAGUGCUUACUUGUGUCUAGAUACUGGCACACAUAGGGUUUUCACCUCAAGACAUGUUUUGUUUGAUAAAAUACAGUUUCCUUUUCCACAAAUCUCAAAUUCAAUUAAUAAAUCUCCUAUUUCAUCCUCUGAAUGGCUAACCAAAUUUGUAUACCUAUUUCCACCCCUAUAUCAAAAACAUCUGGAAGUCAUACACUAGUUCCAUUUCCUUAACAAGAGUCAAGCUUGUGUACUAAUUAUUCUCCAUCACCUUUAACUAUUCAUUUCAAUCCUUCUCUUUGUUCAAAUCUUAUUGUUUUUUAAUUUGCUACUCAAAGAACUCAUCCAAUGGUAAUAAGGUCAUAAAAUAACUUCUUUAAGCUUAUACAAAUUCAUUCGGAUACUAAACAUCCCAUACCACUGAGCAUUAAACCUUCUUGUGUCACCACUGCCAUAAAAGAUCUAUAUUGGAAAUGGAACCAUCCUUGAAUAGCUUACAACUUUGCAUAACAGUGGCACUUGAGAAUUAGUACCUAAACCUCCCAACAAAUUUGUGGUAGCUUGAAAUGGGUGUUUAGAAUAAAGAGAAACCUAGAUGGAUUCAUUUUCAUAUAUAAGGUUAAACUUGUUGCCAACGAUUUCCACUAAUAAUCAGGACAUGAUUACGAUCAUUUGCAUAGUUGUUGAACUUGUUACAGUCAGACUAGUGGUAAUAUUGUAGCUUCUAAGAAUUGACCUUUUCAUCAACUUAAUGUCAACAAUGCAUUUUUUCAAAGAAACCUCACUGAAGAAGUCUAUAUGAAACAGCCUCUAAUAUUUAUUAAUUAACACCAUCAACAUUAUAUAUGCAAGCUCAAAAAGGUUAUAUAUGGUCCUAAACUAGUUCCAUGGGCCUGGUAUAUAAUUCUUAACCCGUUCUUUAUCUCAUCUAGCUUUAAUAACUCCAUUAUAGAUAUGUCACAACCUUCACAUUUGUCUAUCACACAGAGAAUGUCACAACCUUCAUGAUUGUCUAUGUUAAUGAUUUGAUUCUCACAUGCAAUACUUUUCCUUCAUGUCAAAAUUUGUUCAAACCUUAUCUCAAAGAUUCUCUAUUAAGGACCUGUGUAGCCAUCAAGCCAAUGGCAUUGUAAUUGACUUCGAAAAGGGACAUCAACAACUUUUCAUCAACAUUGGCAAGGCUUUUCGUCUUUUUAUGAUAGUUUACACCAUGGGAACCUUUCAUGACCUUGAUAAAUGAAAUCUCACUUCAAUAAUUACAUCUCUUGUGCACUGGUCUAAUCCCUUUGAGGUCUCACCUUUUAGAUGAUAUAAAUCAUUAUGAAAAUUUCCCCUCAUCAAGACCAUGUCACCUUGUCUAACUUUGACCACUCCACCACUUAUAGAAAAUUCAUAUCCUCUGGAGUCUUAUAGGUUCAAUGAUAUUAGAUUCUUACACAUUUUUGAGACAUAAGUCACACCACCCAAAGAGUGCACAACUCUAUCAAACAUUUUGGUUCUCAUAACUCCGAGACCUAUGAUCUUAACAAUUGACUUAUCAAUCAAAGCCAAAUUUUCAACGACCCCUUUUUGAAGCAAAUCAAAAUAAUUCUUUCAAAAGCAUAUGUAAGUGAAACAAAUAGAAUUUAAAUACCCACCAUCAUUAUAUUUUGUAUCCACAUCUUCUAAGAUUGUAGAGGCAGCAUAAUCAUUAUCGUUGAUAACAAAAAUGCACUCACCUUUACUCCCACUACUCUUAUCCCCUUUUAUAGGACAAUCUUUCUAAAUAUGUUCAUACCUUUUGCAUUGAAAACCCUAAAUAUUGUUAGAUCUAGACUUGUCACACUUAGAUCUCUUGUUAGUUGACUUGCUCUUCGGAAUCUUAGUCACUAAUUCUGAGUCAAUUAAUCUAUAUUCACAUUUUUAUUCUUCUCUCAGGUUUCACGGGACAUUAACACUGCUUGUGGUUGUUUUAAACGUUAUGUAUCCUUUUCACAUAUCAAAGAUUUUACAAGUACCUUAUAGGUGUGCAAAAGUAAUGCAAGGAACAAUAUUGAAUUCUUUUCUUCUUUCACCUUCACAUCAACUUUCUUCAAUUAAUUAAUGAUCCUAUCGAACUCGUUCAUAUGCUUCAUAAUAUCUCCAUUCUUCUCCAUAGUACGAGCAUUGUUUUCAUGUCAUAGAUCGUUAUAUCCAUCAUAUUAAUUGAGGUUAAGUUACUCGAACAUAACAACUCAAGCUUAAAAUAUAACAUUUUCAUAUUUUCAUAUUUACACAUUUACACAACACAAGCACAUUGUAGUACGAGCAUUGUUUUCAUUUCAUUGAUUGUUAGAUCCAUCAUAUUAAUUGAAGUUAAGUUACUCGAACUUAACAACUCAAGCUUAAAAUAUAACAAUUUCAUAUUUUCAUAUUUACACAUUUACACAACACUAACACAUUUACACAUUACAAUUACAACACAAUAACAAUAACAAUUUAUAUAAAAAAUUAAAAAUAAAAAUUUAUAAAUUAAAUAUAUAAUAUAAAUUAUGCAAAAUUUACACAUUUAACACAACAAACACAUUCACACAUUUACAAUCACAAUAAAAAUUACAAUUUAUAUAAAAAAUUAAAAAAAUUAAAAAUUAAAAAAAUAUAUAUAUAUAAAAAACAUAAAUUAUGUAAAAUUUACACAUUUAGCCUUUUAAACAAACACAAUAACAAUAACAAUUCAUAUAAAAAAUUAAAAACAAAUAUAUAUUAAUUAUAAAUUAUGUAAAAUUAUUUUUUUAAAAAAAAUUACAAGAAAAAAGACCACCAAUGAGAGGAAGGGCAAAAAGGAUGACUGGUGUGGGUUGGGGUGAAAGAACGACUAGUGUGGGGAAAAUUAUAUGGGACAAAAAUGGCGUGAAAAGGAUGCUUUUUGGUUAAGAUCUGAAGGGAGAAGGGAAAAGGCCGCAAAGGAGAUGAGAAAAGGGUGAAGGGUAGAAAGAGCCUCAACAAGGCACAAGAAAGAGGAGGAAGCUUAACUGCAGCGAAAGGAAGCAAAGAGUUAAGGGACAAGGAGCGGCCAGCAUUUAGGGGAAAAGACAAAAUGGAAAAGAAGUUCGCGUGGGUUUCUUUUUUGUUUGAUUUAUUGACAAAAAUUCGGUCAGUAAACUUAAAAAAUUUAAUUGACAUUAUUUAUAGAAUAUUUCAUCAGUAAAUUCAUUUCCCAUUUAUGAAAAUUACCAUCCAAAAAAUUUUGUCGAUAAUUGCUAUUAUUGAUGGAAUUGUUGGUCAAUAAAUUUGACACCAUACAUUCUUUUUUAAAGCCUAAAAUUUACUGAUCAAAUGUUGACUACAUAAAGUCUAUUGAUAAUUUCAUCGAUAUUCCAUCAAUGAUUUAUUAUUCACAAAUACUCCGUCGGUAAUCCAUUAAUAAUUACCAAAACACUGAACAAAUUUAACUAAAAGUCUAGAUCAUGUAUUUUUAUUGGGCAUUUCAAUCAUCAAAGUGCUUUCUUGUGUUUAGGAACUAUCACACACAAGGAAUUCACCUCAAGACAUGUUUUGUUUGAUGAAACAUAGUUUCCCUUUGCAUAAAUCUCAAAUUUGAUUGAUAAAUCUCAUGUUUCAUCCUCUGAAUAGCUAAGCAAAUUUAUAUACAUGUUUCCACCCUUCCAUUAGCAAUGUCCGGAAGUCAUACACUAGUUCCAUUUCCUUAGCAAGUGGCAAGCUUGUGUACUAAUUAUUCUCCAUCACCCUCAACUACUUAGGUACAUUUCAAUCCUUCUCCUUGUUCAAAUCCUAUUGUUUUUGAAUUUGCCAAUAAAAGAACUCAUCCAAUUGUAAUAAGGUUAUAGAAUAACUUCUUCAAACUUAAACAAAUUCUUUUGGAUAGUAAACAUGCCAUACCAUUGAACAUUAAACCUUCUUGUGCCACCACUACCAUAAAAGAUCCACAUGAAAACAAACCAUCCUUGAAAAGCCUACAACUUUUGCAUAACAAUGACACUUGGGAAUUGGAACCUAAACCUCUCAACAAAUUUGUGCUAGGCUACAAAUGAGUUUUUCAAAAAAAAAAAAAAAAGAAACCUAGAUGAAUUCAUUUUUAGAUAUAAAACCAAACUUGUUGUCAAAGAUUUCCACCAACAAUGAAGAUGAUCAUUCGUCCAGUUAUUAAACUUAUUACGGUCAGACCAAUGUUAAAUAUUACAGCUUUUAAGAAUUGGCCUCUUUAUGAACUUAAUGUCAACAAUGCAUUUCUUUAAAGAGACCUCACUGAUGAAGUCUACAUGAAACAACCUCUAGUAUUAAUUUACUGAUCGACACCAUCAACAUUAUGUAUGCAAGGUUAAAAAGGCUAUCUAUGGUCUUAAACAAGCUCCAUGGGCUUGGUAUAUAACUCUUAGCUAGCUCUUUUCUUAUCCCAUCUAGCUUUAAUAACUUUAUUAUAAGUACGUCACUCUUCAUUUAUCACACAUAUGCAAGGUUAAUAACCUUAUCUCACAGAUUCUCUAUUAAAGAUUUAUGUAGUCCUCAAGUCAAUGGCACUAUAAUUGACUUAAGAGAGGGAUCUCAACAUUGGCAAGGCAUUUUGUCCUUUUAUGAUCGUCUACGCCAUAGAAACCUUUCAUCACCUUCUUGAUAAAUGAAAUCUCACUUCAAUAGUUACCAUCUCUUGUGCACUAUUCUCAUCCCUUCAAAGUUUCAUCUUUUAGACGAUAUAAAUUAUUAUGCAAAUUUUCUCUCAUCAAAACCAUGUCACCUUGUGUAACUCUUACCACUCCAUCACCUAUAAAGAAUCCAUACUCUUUGGAGUCUUAUAGGCUCAAUGAUGUUAGAUUCUCAAACAUCUUUGGGACAUAAAUCACACCACCCGAAGCGUGCACAAGCCCAUCAAACAUUUUGGUUCACACAACCCUAAGACUUGUGAUCUUCAUAAUUGACUUAUCAAUCAAAGUCAAAUUCUCAACCACCCCUUUUUGAAACAAAUCAAAAUAAUUAUUUUGGGAGCAUGCAUGAGUGACACAAAUUGAAGUUAAAUAACAACCAUCAUUAGAAUUUGCAUCCAUAUUUUGUAAGAUUGUAAGGACAACACAAUCAUUAUCGUUGGUAGCAAAAACACACUCAUUUUUAUUCUCACUACUCUCAUCCUUGUUUGUAGGACAAUCCUGAAUAUGUUCAUACCCUUUGCAUCGAAAACCUUGAACAUUAUUGGAUCUAGACUUACCACCUUUAGAUCCCUUGUUAGUUGAUUUACUUUUUCGAAACUUAGUCAACAAUGUCGAGUCAAUUAAUUUUUACUCACAUCCCUAUUUUUCUAUCAAGUUUCACGAGACAUUAACGUUUCUCGUGCUUGUUUAAAUGUUAUUGUAUCCUUCUCGCAAAUUAAAGAUUUUACAAAUACGUCAUUGAAGUCCAAAAGCGACAUAAGGAAUAAUAUUGGAUUCUCUUCCUCUUUCACCUUCUCGUCAACCUUCUUCAAUUGAUCAAUGAUCCCGUCAAACUAAUUCAUAUACUUCAUAAAAUCCCCAUUCUUCUGCAUAGUAAAAGUAUUGUUUUCAUGUCGUAGAUUGUUCGAUACACCAUAUUAAUUGAAUUUAAGUUACUUUAACUUAACAACUCAAGCUUAACCUUCUUAUUAGUGCUCUUUAAAAAAAAAAAACCUUUUGAUUUGUGUUAAGAUCUAGAAUUCCUCUCUUCCUGCUUCAUCUAAAUAAAACUCAAAGUGAAAGAAACAAAAUAAUAGUAUAACGUGUACAUAAAACUAUGAAUUUUAAGAGCAAAGAUUCAAUCAAUGUCUUACAUUCAAACUAUAGGAAUUAGUAUAUUUUUCUUGGAUUGUUUAACCUUUUCUAAAAAGGUUAAUCACAUUAAGUAUGGCCACCAAUGAAAGCGAGUGGUUAAGUGCAUUUACUAUAAGAGAACCUCAAUGGUGAUAUGAAGUGUCGUAAAUUGUCCAUUUAUUUGUGAGAAAGGCUAAUACGGCUUUUAUCAUGUGACAUGUCCCUAACAAUGCAUGGUUUAUCCCCAAUCCCCACUCAAAUGCAGUUAUGUCCAUAGUCCAUUAUAUUAUUAAAAAUGAUUGUUGAAAUUAGUGUGAUACACUUAACCCCUCUCUGUAGUUUUGGGACAAUCUAUUUUUCCUCUUAAUGAAAAAAAAAUCUGGCAAGCUCACUUUUGCUGUUUUUUGUAUGAUAGUCGAGUAAAAGCUUGUUUGGCUUAGUUUUUUUAACUUAAAAGUUAUCAUGAAACUCUUAUGAAAAAUAAUAGUAUUUAAGAUUAAGCUAAAGCUGUAUGACAAAAUAAAUUAUAUAAGCUUCAAUUUUGGUUAAAAUUAUAAUAAAGGGUAUUUCUGUCAUCUUCAAUCACCUAAUAAACCAAAGCGGAACAAGUCUAUUUCAAGCUUAUAUACGAUUUUAAAUGUUAAAAUCAAAAAAAUCCAUACAGAAACAGAAUAGCUCUCAAAUUUUGUAUAGUAGUAAUAGCAUUUAAUUUUUGUUAAUCUAGUAAGCAAUUGGACCAUGAUGCUUCAACUUCUAAAGAAAGAAGAGAAAAGAGAAAAUGAUGUAUUUGAUAUUAAAAUCCUUUUUAGUGAAGAAAAGAGAAAAUCUUAAAAUAGUACUUGAUACAAUUUUGAAUUUUGGGUCUUUUUUUCUAUUAAUCUUUAUAAGAAUAAAAAAAUCUCAAAUUUUACUAUUCUAUUGUUGGGGUUUUCUAUUUUUUUUUUCUAGUAGUCUUUGUAAAGGGAGGUGGAUGAGGGGGAGAUCGCGAACUACAUUAGACAAAGGUGAUUUGCAAAAGCAAGAAGAUCUGAGAGAGAGAUCGAUUGGGAAAAGAGAUAUUUCUUAAGAAGCUAUCGUAUUUAUAAAAAGAAAAAAGAAAAAAAAAAACUCUUCUUUGGCUUUUUUUAAGUUUUUUUUUUGAAAUUUUAUUUUUAAAAAACUUAUUUUUUUAAAAAUUUCUUAAAAUCUUAUUUAACUUGGCUUUUGUUUUUAAAAAAUAGAUAAGCUAAAAAAAAAGUCAAGCCAAACAAGGAUUAAGUCUUAGGAUUUGAUUACAUGUAUGGGAAAGUCCAACUCAACACCCCUGGGAGAAAAAAUAUCCAGAUAUUAGAGUUCACCAUUAUCUUCCAGCUAGAGUAUCUUACUAUGAUUUAACGAGACAGAGCAAAUAUUGCCUUUGCCCCAGUGGCUAUGAAGUUGCAAGCCCGAGAGUUGUUGAGGCCUUGUAGAAUGGCUGCGUCCCGAUGCUGAUUUCAAAAGGGUACAUGCCGUCAUUCAGUUAUGUUUUGAAUUGGAAGAUGUUCUCUGUGACAAUUUCCCGGGAAGACAUUCCAAAUCUGAAGAAACUCUUGAUGAGUAUACCACAAAGGCAAUAUAUAAGAAUGCAGAAGAGAGUUGUUCAAGUUAGAAGGCAUUUUCAGUUGAAUUCUCCGGCGAAGAGGUUUGAUGUUUUCCAUAUGAUCCUUCAUUCAAUUUGGUUAAGAAGAUUAAACAGUAAAGUACUCAUUAAUGAUAUUGGAGAGAUUUCCGAUUGAUGAAUCAAUUGGCCAUUCCGUCUUUGUGAAGAGAUGUCCGCUAAGUCAGCUGUUAGGGAGUGGGUUACAUAAUUCAGGAACACUCUCUAGUCAUUCGAUGAGGCAGUUAAGCACGAUUGCACUGGAUCAUUGGAGCUUGAGCUUUCUAUUUAUAUGCUGUAUUUUUGAGGUCAAGAUGUGAAGGUGCAUAUGUAAUUUGUCAUUCACGGUUACAAAGAUAUUUUAGCUUGGAAUCAAGCCUGUUUUAGCCAGUCUAUUUUAGCCAAUUACUUCUUGUUUUGGGACUGCCCAGCUUUCCCUGAUUCUUUAGAAAAUGAAUAAGAAUUCAAUUAUCACCCCCCACCAAAUUAAUUUAUGCAAGAACGCCUUUGUUGCUUUUAUUUCUGAAUUACCAUUUUAAAUAAUUCUUGUUGAUUAUAGAUAGCGACUAUAAUAAUAAAUUAAUAUAGUUACAAGGUUUAUCUCAUGUAGAGGUAAGAAUUUAAAUUUUGUUGAAUCACUUUCAUUAAAAGAUAAUUUACUUUUUUUAGAAUUCUUUAUUCAAUAGAUUUCUAAAUGUAACCCUAUAAAACAUUAUUAUUGUUUAAUUAAAAAAAAUGGCAAGUAUUUAUGUGCAACCAAGGAGCAAAUACUACUAGCUAGAAACAAAUGAAACAGAGUACUGGAAUAAAAGGAAUAAAAGAUAAGCACUAACAGCCACAGUUUUGAGAGUCUGAAUAUGACCUUGGUGGUACACUACUAUAUAAUAACCAUCCGUUUCAAAGCUGUAAAAUGAGUAUAUGAACUGGAAAUUUGGCUAAGAGGAAAGCAGAUAAAUAAUGAAGCAGGGAAAACAAAGGUUGGCCUGCUUGGGGGUGCAACCAUUUGUUUUCGUCCGUUUCCUAAAAACCCAACUCUUAUUUUUUGUGUUGGUUGCAAACAUGCCUCCAUUAUUUCACAUAAAGAUUCUGAGAUAACUCCUUGAGAAGGAGAGAUGGGUGAAGGAUUCAAGAAUUGGUUUGCCAAAACUUCAUCAUCAUUAAAGGUUAUUCUGUUUGCAGUGCUUUUGAUUCUGGUGUCAGGUUCUGCUCCCCUUUUUGUUCAAAGACGCUCCAACUUGGCUUUAAUUUAUGUUGUCCCUACUUCAUCUUCUUCAAACACUAAUUUAGAUGCAGUACAGAGGCCAAGUUACAUGCAAAAGAAAGUGAUAGUCCAGUAGAUUUGCAUUCAGAGGUGGUAGUGUUGGUGGAUGAUCACAGCAGGAAAGAAGCUUUGUCAGAUGAGGCUGCCCUUAGCAAGUCUGUUUCUCCAACAAUUGAUGCUCGGUCCUUGCAAGUUCAGCAGUUUGUAAGAGCUUUGUUUCUCUCUCAUGGACAGUUUCUUACCUUCUCUGGCGCUUAUGUCUUUAUCAAUUGCUUUAGUAUGAUGGCUUAGAAGUUAGAACCACAUCUCUUUAAUUUGUGUCAUUUACCACAUUUUUAGCUUAAUUUUGUUGAUUCUGAUAAGCACUUAAGAAUUUAGGUCCAUGACUUCCUGUCAUUUCCCUUUGCUUUAUUUGAAGUUAGUGAUUUCUUUGUUGCCUCGUUGAUUGAGUUUGUUCUCCCAAAUCACGGAAAAUAAUGCCUGUCAAAAAUUAUAUACUUGAUUUUAAAUUUCUUUGAUUCAUCACGAAAUUUUUAUUAAAUUUUUAUAUUCUGAUCACUCAAACUCUCAUUACUCUAUGAAGCAUUAUUGAUGCAAUAGGUAUUUAAUCAUCUAGUUUAAAAGGAUAAUUGCUGAUAACCAUCAUUGUCCACUCCCAAUUAUUAUCUACAAUAUCAUUAAUUCUUAUACAAAUAGGGUGCCAUUAUUAAUAUUUUAACAUUCUUUUUUUUUUAUUGGAAAAAGUUUAAAAAUAGCAAAGUUAGAUGGUUCAAUCAUUAAACUAUAUGAACAUCAAGAAAGAAAAAACGUUGACAACAUAUCCUUUAUUCAUCCUUACUUGAUUAUUCCUUGGGCAUGCAAAUCAUAUGAGUAACACUAGCCCUUAAGUAAUUAGUGUAAGAAAUUUUAGGCGAAUUGUGCGUAGGGUGUGGAUUUUUUCAAUAUUUCACUUGAUGUCAAUGCAAUGCUUCCCUUCCUAAAUUAUAUGGUUUGCUUAGUGACUUUAAUUAUGAUUAAUUCAACAGAGCGGCAGAAAUGAAGACAACCCAAACAUGUCAAUAAGCGAAAACUUCAGCUCCACCACACCCUUCAAAGAAAAUGAAUCGAUUGAUCCUCCUUUGAAGCACAGAAGACGAAGAGUCUACACUAAAUUGGAUAGGCUGGAAGAUGGUCUACGAAAAGCACGAGCUGCCAUUAAAGAAGCUAUGAAUUGGAGUCAAUUACACGAUCCUGAUUACAUCCCCAGUGGCCCUGUUGGAAAAUUACGAAAUUGUCUCUAAAGAAUUACCCAAGAUCUAACCCAAUCAAUAGAAUUAAGAAAGAAAGAAAUCAAACACACCCACAAGAACAUAAGAAUUUACGUGGUUCGGUCUUUUGAUGACCUACGUCCACGAGCACAGUAACAGAAAAAAAUCCACUAAGAGGAAAAAUCAGGAGAUUACAAGAACAGUCUCAAACUCAUAACCCUUAUCCCACGUACACCUAAAUCACUCUCUCUAAAUCUAGGUGAUUAUUAUUCUUUAACCCAUAGGGUCCUUUUAUAGUGCCAAAUACAAUAACCUUAUCCUAAUAUAAUUAGGAAUCUUAUCCUAAUAGAAUUAUGAAUUGUUAUUCUAGUCUAACUAAAUUUAAAGACUAUUUCAUAAGGUAUACUAAUUUAAUUAGAAUUAAACAAUCCUAAUUAAAUCAUAAUUCAAGACUAUCCUAACAAAUCUCCACCUUAGGCUUGAAUUCACCAAGCUCCACCUUACGAACCAAUCUCUGUCGACACCGUCACUGCCCCAAAGGGCCUCAAGCACUAAGAACACCAAUCAAGUCCAAGCAAUGCUUGAACUUUAUCCCAGAAACUGACUUAGUUAACAUAUCUACCGGAUUUUCUUCUGUAGCUAUUUUCUUUACUACAAUGUCACCUUUAGAAAUAAUCUCUCGAACGAAGUUACACUUGACUUGGAUGUGUUUGGUUCUUUCAUGAAACAUCUUAUUUUUAGUCAAAUGUAUAGCACUUUGACUAUCACAAAACAUAAUUGUAUAUGCUUGUCCAAAACCAAGAUCACUAACCAAGCCUUUAAGCCACAAAGCCUCUUUCAUUGCCUCGGUCACAGCCAUAUAUUCAGCUUCAGUUGUAGACAAAGUAACGAUUGAUUGAAGAAUUGCUUUCCAACUGAUUGCAGACCCUGAGAGAGUGAACACAUACCCCGUUUGAGAUCUUAUACUGUCUAGAUCACCAACAAAAUCUGAAUCGGAGAAGCCAACCACAUUACAACUAAUGUUUGCACCUCCUUCACACACUAAGCCAACUUCAAUAGUAACUUUAGGUGUUUUCACAAGCUCCCAUGUUUGAUCCCAGUGUAGAGACUCAAUCUUCUUAGAAGACUCGGCAUAUGUAAUUUCCUCAUGAUAAAAGUAAGGCUCAUCAAUCUCUACUUCCUCAAAUAAAACAUAAGAAUCAGAAUCACCAUCAAUACAAGUAAUGCUUCGUUGAGAUACCAAUUCUUGUACCUCUUGCAAUUCUUUCUAGAUUUCACUAUCAUCCCACACUGUCACAAGAGUAUUGAUUUCAAGCUCCACCUACUUGCCAACUUCUUGGUCUGAUGUGUUUGCAAUUCUAGACUUUAUCCCACAAAGUAAUGCAAACUUGUCAAAGGUAACAUCCCGACUCACCAUAAACUUGGGAAACUUACAAUCAGUACACCACAACCGAUAACCCUUCACCCCAUAUGCAUAGCCUAGGAAUAUGCACUUCGUUGCCCUCAACUCAAGUUUACCAUCUAUCACGAUCCAUAACUCCCCAUCGGGCCCGUGACAACUGUCGCGAGGCCUCGACAGACAUUCUUCACCCCAAAUACCGAUCGAAACCCCACAAGGCUCUCGUAUCAGCUUUCACACUUCCCCGAUGAGCAAUAGUUAUCAAAUAUCAAAAUUUAAGGGAUUACAAAUCAUUUCCAAAUUAGAACAUAACAUUUUGUUUUCUAGCUCACAAGGGCAUUUUCGUCAUUUCAAUUUUUUUUUUGAAAAUCUCAAAACUUGCUAAAAAUGUAGUAGGUAAGCAGAAAAUAUAUAUUUAAUGAUUUAAAAACAAAUUAAGUAUCUAAACCAUUCAUUUGAAGUGAAAAUUUGACCAUUUGAAUAUAAUAAAAAUAUUCAAUAAAAUAAACUAUUUUCUUGUAAAAUAAUUUUCAUAAAACUAUCGGUACAUAAUUCUUAUAGCGUAAAAGUUAAUUAUAUUCAUAUAUACUAUAAAGCAAAUAACCAAAGCAUAAAAUUUCUUUUACAGUGACACGUGGGCCCACCUCUAAUCAAAAUGCAUCGAAAGCUGGAAACCUACAGCUUUUACUGAUUCAAGUCCAAAUGAAAGUCCUUAUCAAAAUCAGCUAACUAUAAAAUUCCCCGAGCCUGAAAUGUGAGGAAAUGAGGGUGGUGAGAUUAUAAAAUCCCAGUGAGUAAACAGAUACCAUCUAAACUAUCUAAAGUCGAGUAAAUGGAGACAAUUAAAAUAAAUCAUCAUACUAUAAUUUCAUUACCUUUCAACACAUUUCAACCAAAUAAAAUCAAUCCAUAAAAAUCGAGUAAUCAACUUGGCUUAUGAAGUUCUUAAAACUUUGGCUCGUACCAAAACUCAUACUCGGUGAUACCUUGCGCAGGGCAUCCAACCGAGUCCGUCAAUGUUGUUAAAAUUUUUGUAUACACUUAAAAUAUAUUUUUAGUUUGAGAAAAAUACAGUCGUUCCUUGGUGUUGGCUGAGUUCCCCUUCACAUGAUGGUUUGGCGUGAAGUGAACCCUAAGCUUUACCCCAAGAGAUACCCUACUCGUCUCUCCGUUCGAGGUAAGAAUAUAAUAGAGUUUACCGUGCUCCUCUAAUAGGCUGGUCCACGAAACCUCAUCUGCAGUGAAUAAUUAAUAUAUAAUCCACCAAUCAAUAAAAUUCAUUCUAGCAUGACAUGGUAAUUUAUCGCAGCCUAGCCUCUCAAGGCUGAAUACUCAGUACAAAUAAUUCUAACACCAAAAUCAGUUUAGCCAUUCAUGCUCAUAUAUUGUCAUAAGCCAUUCAAUUUAAAACCAUAAAUUUACAACACAAGCAGGCAGUCUUCAAUUACUCUAUUUUCAAAACCAGUAUUCGAUUUUUUCAGAAAAUUUAUAAAAUCAUUUUAUAAAAUUGUAAUUUCUCUUAAAACAUAACAAUUUACCAUUUGAACCCAUUUUCCAUAAAAUCACACAAUUGUAUAAAACUACUCUAGAUAAUUAAGACGAUAAUAAGUUCACUCACUGUUCUAAGAGUAUAUGUACUCAUAAUCCCAGUCUCCAAGCAUAAUUUCUGUACUUUUACAAGUGUACUUUGCUCACCACCUAUCCACAAUGUACAAUACAUAAUUGAUCACAUCAAUGCUUGACCAUUAUAAAAUCAAUUCAAGCUCGGUAUAUAUGCAUGAUAUGAUAUACAACUUAUCAGACUACCGUUUACAUGCGGUGCUAACCUAAUUUGGCCUAUUAUCUCCAAAUCAAUUCUUCUCACUUUCUACACUCCAAUUAUACCUAAAUUACCUUAAUGACUGUGAAUGAGAUUCAAUUUAUCAGUCUCGAUAGUAAAUUACGAAAAUACCCCUAGUGGGUAAAAAUUCGUAUUCUUGCUCUAAAAAUUUCCAUUAUUUUUCUAGGCUCAUAAUUCAUCAUUUCUUAACCAAUUCUCCUAGAAUGAAAAUCAAAUUCAUCCUCACCCAACACAUGGUAAAUUCGGCCAUUAAGGGUUGUGGGAGAAAAUAAAUUCUUUUCUUGUUGUUUUGUUUCUAAAUAUGCUAAACUAACUUAAAACACUAACAUAACUUAAAAUCAAAUUAAUCUAACAAUUUUCUCUCUCCUAACCCAUUUUUCAGAAUUGAAUUCAUCAUAAUAACUCAAUAUUCAACCAUGAAAAUCAAGAACAAAAGCAUAGGUAAGCUAGGUAUCAAGGAGAACUAAAGAAAUUCUAACUUACCUAGCUUGUUUCCUUGAUUUCUUCACUUUUUCUUUGAAUUUUUACCUAGGUUUUUUUGUUUUUUCCUUUGUUCUUCCUCUCUUUCUCUCUCUUCCUUGCUUGGUCGGCCAUAUGAAGAAAAUGGGCUGAUUUUAUGCCUUUUUAUAAAGAAACAAUAAAAUAAUAAAGGUAUGACACAUGGCAUUUUUUUAUUGGUCCAUUUUUAAAAUUUUAAAAUUUUAAUCCUUUUUAUCUCCACCACACAAUUAGUCAAUGGUCAAAAUGAGGAUAAAGGAAGACCAUGUGCUGGAAAAAUGUCCUGAUGGUGGAAAAUUACAAUUUUGCCCCAAGGGUGGCAAAAUUAUCAUUUUACCAUUUUACUUCAAAUUAUACCAAAAAUUAAAAUUUUUCACUUCUAAACCUCAAAUCCUACUCCAAUAAGUCAAAUGGGGCCAAAAAAAUCUUUUCUAAAAUUUUCAUUCUGUCCCCAAGUGGCAAAUGACCAUUUUACCCCUAGAUAGCGAAAAUUUCAGUUUGACUCCAAAUAGAUCCUCGAACUCCGAAUCACCAUAUUAAACCAUUCUGGGACUUUAAAAUUCUUAAUUUCAUCAUGAAUUCUCUAUUUGAUCUAGUUCGAGGCUUAAAUCAGCUUUGUUGUACGUCUAGGUACAAUACCGACUUUUUUGUAAAUUUUUCGAGACUCUCUUAGCAUGCAAACAUGCUAUCCAUCACAUGUAUGUUAUGACAAAUAUUUUUAUAGAGUCGGGCUUGUCAUCUUCUCCCCCACUUGGAUCAACCAUAUGAUCAUUCUUCAUAACUGAUUUCGACAUCAGGCUAAAUAUUAAUACUUUAAUAUUAUUUCAUUAAUAAAAUAUUAUUUUAUUCUAAAAAUUUUAUCUUGUCUCCUUGGUACCCAAAAUACCUUAUUAUGCCUCACUUGACUUUCAAAUCGCCUUUUAUCUCACAAAUUCUCCUCCGAUAAAAUUAUUAUUAUUUUAUUAUUAUUUUCUCACUUGCGAAAUAUUUUAUCCUAAACUACUUUUUUCGUCUUUUAUCACUUCUAAACAUUUUAAUUAACCUCAAUUUGCAUUCGAUCAACUUUAUUUAUCACCAUAUCAAAGUAUGGGGUAUUUCACCAUCACUCACAUGAGCAUGAACAUGACAACCAAAUACUCUCAAUAUAGAGUAAUCAGCGGGCUUACCAGACCAAACUUCCUUGGGAGUCUUAAAUUCAAUUACAGUUGAUGGAGACCGAUUUACCAAGUAACAAGCCUUGUUGAUAGCUUCUGUCCAAAAUACUUUGGUUAGGCCAACAUUUGAGAACACGUAUUUUGCUCUCUCAAGAAGUGUUUUCUUCAUCCAUUCUACAAUACCGUUUUGAUGUGGUGUUUUGACGACAGUGCAAUGUCUAACGAUUUUUUCAUUCUUGUAGAAUAGACCAAACUCACCUUUGCAAAAUUUCAAACCUUUGUUUGUUCGAAAGCUCUCGAUCCUUUUCUUAGUCUGCUUCUCGAUCAAUACCUUUCAAUGCAAAAAGGUGGUUAACACUUCACUUAUAGCCUUCAGAAGAUACGUCCACACCUUUCUUGAAAAAUAAUCAAUAAAGGUCCACAUGUAUAAUGAUCCACCUUUUGAUGCCACCGAAGAAGGACCCCAUAAAUCUGAAUGGAUGUAGUUUACUGCACUCUUAGUUCGUUGAGUUGUAGUGCUAAAUUUCACUAUAUGUUGCUCACAGAAAUCUAGCUUUUCAAUCUUUUGACCACACAGCAAACUACGCUUACUCAGUUUUCUAAUCCCUCUCUCGCUCAUAUGACCCAAUCACAUAUGCCAUAAAUGUGUUACAUCAUCUUCAGGAUCAUUAGAUGAGACCACAGAAAUAGUUUCAAUGACCGUGUUUCCCACUAGACAAUAAAGGUCAUCGGAUAACUUGCCGUUCAUGAUAGUUAAGGCUCAUUUAGAUACAUUCAAGACACCAUCUUGGCCACUAUAUUUGUAGCCAUUCUUAUCUAACAAACUCAAGGAUAUUAAAUUCUUUUUCAUGUUAAGGACAUGUUUUACCUCAAGUGUUCUUACCAUACCAUCAAACAUCUUGAUUCGAAUUAUGCCAAUCCCAACAACUGAGAGAGAGAAAUCAUCUCCUAAUUGUACAGUGCCCAUAUCAACAAAUUGAUAAGUUGUAAACCAAUCACGCCUAGGACAUAUAUGAAAGCAACAAGCCGAAUCCAAGAUCCAUGUAUCCAUCAGGUUACCAUUGGUAAUUGCAAGAACAUUAUCAGGUUCCUCAAAAGUAUCAAAGUCAUUUCCAACCACGUUUGCAGUAUUCUCAGACUUAUUGAUCUUUUCAUCAUCCUUGAAUUUGGUACAGUCUUGACGAAAGUGCCCUUUCUGACCACAAUUUCAACAAGUUUUCCCUUUUGCUCUAGAUUUACCUUUUCUAUCUAUACUCUUCUCUCUAUCUUUUCCUCUAUUUACAACCAAACCUUCUGCUUGAUUUUCAUUCUGGAUACCACCAACUUUCUUCUUCAAUUCCUUAGAAUUUAAAGAUCUCGAAAGUGAGAGUGUCUCGGUCAUAUAAUAUAGUAUCCACGAAGUUUUCAUACGAUGGAGGCAAAGAACAUAAAAGAAUUAGGGCUAGGUCCUCAUCCUCAAUUUUAACAUCGAUAUUCUUUAAAUCAAGAAUAACUCUAUUAAAUUCAUCAAUGUNNNNNNNNNNNNNNNNNNNNNNNNNNNNNNNNNNNNNNNNNNNNNNNNNNNNNNNNNNNNNNNNNNNNNNNNNNNNNNNNNNNNNNNNNNNNNNNNNNNNNNNNNNNNNNNNNNNNNNNNNNNNNNNNNNNNNNNNNNNNNNNNNNNNNNNNNNNNNNNNNNNNNNNNNNNNNNNNNNNNNNNNNNNNNNNNNNNNNNNNNNNNNNNNNNNNNNNNNNNNNNNNNNNNNNNNNNNNNNNNNNNNNNNNNNNNNNNNNNNNNNNNNNNNNNNNNNNNNNNNNNNNNNNNNNNNNNNNNNNNNNNNNNNNNNNNNNNNNNNNNNNNNNNNNNNNNNNNNNNNNNNNNNNNNNNNNNNNNNNNNNNNNNNNNNNNNNNNNNNNNNNNNNNNNNNNNNNNNNNNNNNNNNNNNNNNNNNNNNNNNNNNNNNNNNNNNNNNNNNNNNNNNNNNNNNNNNNNNNNNNNNNNNNNNNNNNNNNNNNNNNNNNNNNNNNNNNNNNNNNNNNNNNNNNNNNNNNNNNNNNNNNNNNNNNNNNNNNNNNNNNNNNNNNNNNNNNNNNNNNNGUCCACGGGCACAGCAACAGAGAAAAAUCCACUAAGAGAAAAAUCAAGAGAUUACAAGAACAUUCUCAAACUCAUAACCCUUAUCUCACGUACACCUAAAUCACUCUCUCUAAAUCUAGGUGAUUAUUAUUCUUUAACCCAUAGGGUCCUUUUAUAGUGCCAAAUAAAAUAACCUUAUCCUAAUAUAAUUAGGAAUCUUAUCCUAAUAAAAUUAGGAAUUGUUAUUCUAGUCUAACUAGAUUCAAAGACUAUUUCAUAAGGUAUACUAAUUUAAUUAGAAUUAAACAAUCCUAAUUAAAUCCUAAUUCAAGACUAUCCUAAUAGGCCCCAUAUACAGGAAUGCCAAAUGCUUUCAUAGGUAUCCCAUCAUCUUUAGCAGGUUAUUAGCAUAUUUCAUAUUCUCCUUCUCUUUUGCUCAAGAAUUAUAUAUAUUAUUAUUAUAUAUAUAUAUAUAUAUAUAUAUAUAUAGUUUUUACAUCAUUUUUUGAGUCAAUCCCUUUAUUAUUAAGUUAAAAUACAAAUUUCUGUUUUACUUCCAAAUGAAACUUGAAAAUCAGUAAUUUGUUUGUUGUAAGAGAGUUUUAGGGGUGAUUGUCUAUCAUCGAUAUGCAUCUUCUGUAAAAGUAGAAAUAAUUCAUUUCCAAACAUUUUCGAAGUUAACAAUGCUAAGAGCCACUCAUUUAGUAUCAAAGAACCUCAACUUAAUCUCCAUCCAAGCUUAACUUGGCUUGUCGAUCACAAGGCUGCGAUAGGGGAGUUACUAUCUCCACGCACAUGAAUUUUGCAUCGUCGGAGUAAUGCUAAAUUUGUUUGCAUGCUCCAAGUCGCUUUAUUGGACCAGCCCGUCAAGCUAAUGGAAGGCACUACAAUUUGUAGAAAAGACAAGCCACUCCAACUGCAAUGGGAAUCCAAUAGAAACAACAAGCCCUGCUGGGGCAAACAUGGCCUACGAAGGUUCUCAAUUUCCCAAUGCCUCUGUCUUGUCUUAUGUAAGAUUGCCCUGCAUUUGGACACUGAUGAAAUAUAGUGUGGACCUGUAAGUGUUUCCUCACCCCACAUCUAGGCCCUGUCUUGUAGCCCAAAAGUUGUGCAAUCACUGCACCCUGUGGGUUUGGUGGUGGAUAUUAAGAGUCGCCCAUGUCCAGUUCAAGCCUAUGAGCUGAGGGUGGCCUUGUUAAAUUGCAGCCCGUGUCUACCUCACCCCCUCUCCAUUUCCUAAUUAUCCAAUUUCCUAGCUAAAUUCAUAGCAUAAAGAAAAAAAAAAAUCUUAGCAACACUUGCACUAGGAGCAAUAACUGAACCAAACUUGAUUUUGCAGUUUAGAUACAAAGGAAAGAGUAAUUUCGGAGUUGGUCAUUCCCACAAUAAUAAAAUUAAGUAAGCAAAUGUUUCGAUUUUACACUACAUCUUUAUUGAGGAAACAAGGUCAGUGUUUGCCUUUUGUUUCCAGGUAAGGAAACAAUCUCAAUGCUAUUUUGUGUACUUAAGAGAACUUUUCAUGGUUUUUACUAUAUUGUAGUGCUUCCUACUCUAAUUCCAGGACUUUCUGCUUCUUGUUUGCAAUGACAGGAGCUACCUGGAAAUGGAAAAAAAGUUCAAGAUAUAUGUUUACAAAGAAGGGGAGCUUCCACUAUUUCAUGACGGUCCUUGCAGGCUGUUGUACACUAUAGAAGGACAGUUUAUCAAUAAGAAGGAGGUUAAUAAAAAGUUCCGAACCUACAAUCCUGAGAAAGCCCAUGUAUUUUACCUUCCUUACAGCGUAACAAGGAUGCGCCAAUAUAAUUGGGUGCGGGGUACGCCUAUGAAACGCUUAGGGGGGAUCGUCUUAGACUACAUAAACGUUAUUGCAGGGAAAUAUCCCUUCUGGAAUCGAAGCCUUGGCGCUGACCAUUUCAUGCUUUCUUGCCAUGACUAGGUAAUUAGCUUUUUCGGCUUUACAGUAGAGAACAGAACUAUGAUGCUAAAAUAAUGUUCCAUUAAUUUCGGACUACUUAUAAUUUUGUUUCAGGGGCCUGCAACUAGUUUACUCCAUCCGUGCUCUGUGCAAUGCAAACACCUCCAAGAGGUUCAACCCCAAGAAGGACGUGUCCAUUCCAGAAAUUAGUCUCAAAAGCAGUAGGCUAGAGGGCUUGAUUGGCGGGCCGUCUCCAUCACAGCGUACAAUCCUGGCAUUUUUUGCAGGGGGGAAUCACGGUUUUGUAAGACC